GACGAACGCUGGCGGCGUGCUUAACACAUGCAAGUCGAACGGAAAGGCCCUGCUUUUGUGGGGUGCUCGAGUGGCGAACGGGUGAGUAACACGUGAGUAACCUGCCCUUGACUUUGGGAUAACUUCAGGAAACUGGGGCUAAUACCGGAUAGGAGCUCCUGCUGCAUGGUGGGGGUUGGAAAGUUUCGGCGGUUGGGGAUGGACUCGCGGCUUAUCAGCUUGUUGGUGGGGUAGUGGCUUACCAAGGCUUUGACGGGUAGCCGGCCUGAGAGGGUGACCGGCCACAUUGGGACUGAGAUACGGCCCAGUCUCCUACGGGAGGCAGCAGUGGGGAAUAUUGCACAAUGGGCGGAAGCCUGAUGCAGCGACGCCGCGUGCGGGAUGACGGCCUUCGGGUUGUAAACCGCUUUCGCCUGUGACGAAGCGUGAGUGACGGUUAUGGGUAAAGAAGCACCGGCUAACUACGUG
Molecule: ribosomal RNA, 468 nt
Filed under: uncultured bacterium
Lineage: Bacteria
Description: partial 16S ribosomal RNA
Rfam family: Bacterial small subunit ribosomal RNA
Source: RNAcentral